This 253-nucleotide ribosomal RNA is filed under the name uncultured bacterium. Its description in RNAcentral is "partial 16S ribosomal RNA". It matches the Rfam family "Bacterial small subunit ribosomal RNA", at positions 524 to 776 of the family's 1533-position model. The record is from RNAcentral.
UACGUAGGGUGCGAGCGUUGUCCGGAAUUAUUGGGCGUAAAGGGCUCGUAGGCGGUUUGUCGCGUCGGGAGUGAAAACUCAGGGCUUAACCCUGAGCCUGCUUCCGAUACGGGCAGACUAGAGGUAUGCAGGGGAGAACGGAAUUCCUGGUGUAGCGGUGAAAUGCGCAGAUAUCAGGAGGAACACCGGUGGCGAAGGCGGUUCUCUGGGCAUUACCUGACGCUGAGGUGCGAAAGCAUGGGGAGCAAACAGG